UGGAAAGGCGCGCCACCGGCUCGGCAUCUUCCCCGCUAGGGUUUAAAAUUACAGAAUAUGGAGAACUCUAUAUCUGGUAUGAUUGAGGAACAAAACGAGUACGUCGGCUAUAAUUCUGAUGACUCUGAAAUGGAGGAAAAUUUGCAGCACGAAGCCGGCUGGAGCGAAGACGAGUUUGAUAUUGCGUACGAUGAAUUUGAUAAUGUUGACAACCAUGGCGAACACACAGACGAUCAAAAUGAUGAGAACCAUGGUGAAC
Long non-coding RNA from Lolium rigidum, 259 nucleotides. RefSeq lists it as uncharacterized. The record is from RefSeq and is a predicted model, not a curated record. The transcript has 3 exons. NCBI's taxonomy places the organism in Eukaryota, Viridiplantae, Streptophyta, Magnoliopsida, Poales, Poaceae.